UUUCGGUCCAGGCUUAGGUUCAGGUUUCAGUUUAGGCUUUGGUUCUGGGUAUGGUUUAGGCUCUGGCUUUGGUUCGGGCUUAGGCUUUGGUUCAGGUUCAGGCAUCGGAUGUGGUUUUGGCUCCGGGUGUGGCUUGGGCUCUAGCUUUGGGUCAGGUUUAGGCUUUGGUUUUGGUCCUGGGUGUGGAAUGGGCUUCGGCUUCGGCACCGGUUUAGGUUCCGGUUUUGGCUUUGGAUAUGGUUUAGGCUCUGGUUUUGGUUCAGGCUUUGGCUCGGGCUUCGGUUCAGGCUCUGGCUUUGGCUCUGGUUUUGGUUCAGGUUUAAGCUUAGGCUCAGGCUCUGGGUGUGGCUUUGGCUCAGGCUUCGGGUGUAGCUUAGGCUCGGGUUUCGGCUCAGGCUUUGGUUCUGGGUGUGGUUUGGGCUCCGGCUUUGGUUCCGGUUUUGGUUCAGGGUGUGGCACUGGCUUUGGUUUGGGCUCCGGUUUCGGUUCUGGGUGUGGCUUAGGCUCUGGCUUCGGCUCGGGUUUGGGCCCCGGUUUUGGCUCUGGCUUUGGCUUUGGGUAUGGCUUUGGUUCUGGUUCUGGUUUUGGUUCAGGUUUAUGCUCAGGUUUUGGUUCUGGCUUUGGCUCCGGUUUGGGCUUUGGCUUCGGCUCUGGGUAUGGCUUUGGUUCUGGUUUUGGUUCAGGCUUAGGCUCAGGUUUAGGUUCUGGAUUAGGUUUUGGUUCUGGCUUUAGCUCCGGUUUCGUCUCUGGCUUCGGCUCUGGGUAUGGCUUUGGCUCCGGCUUAGGUUCUGGCUUUGGCUCCGGUUUUGAUUCAUGCUUAGGAUGAGGCUUUGGCUUUGGCUUCGGCUUCGGCUCCAGCUCUGGCGGCUUCUCGUACAUCGCACGGCCCUGCUUGCUCAUGAAGCGGGCGCCAUGGCCGAGUCCCUGGCCAGCUGCCGCCGCUUCAUCAACUAAAGCGCUCGCCACCGCCAAUGCCCCAAGCAGGAGCACGGCGGCAGUGAGGCAAGGAGAGCGCCUAGCCAUGGCUGGCAAGCUAAGCUCCUCCUCUUCGCUUAUCUUCUUCUCCCUCUCUCACUUCUGCUGUUGUACGUAACUGAACUGUGAGCUUGUGCCAGUGGAUGGAAGGAUUGCUGGGGUUUUAUAGCCCGGGAAAGCCAAACAAUGCAAGCAGGUGUGGUCACAUGUCUCCAUGGCACCCUGCUUUUGUGAUCUCUAGCUGCUUGCCAGAUCUCACCUAGUAUCAUGCCUGCCUCCCUUCCAAAUCUGACUAUUUUACUCUUCUUCACUUUUUACUAACUGCUAACCCUACUUUUUCCUAAUUAAUCAGCACCUGUUCUGAUUAAUCAAUCGGUUACUUGUUACUUUAAUGUAUGACUAGACAAUUAGUCUUUUGUUGGAACACAUGAAUUUUAUACAGCUUUGGUUAGAAACUGAAGUAGUAGUAAUUGGUACGAAAAGCAAGUAAAAUUGUUUGAGUCAUAUUCAGCAGCGGAGCCCGCACGGCAAACAAACAGGGGAAAUGGAACAAGUGCGUAAAAUAGCUUAGGCUAGGUGCAGCAGAAGCUAGCAUUGCAGGAGCAGGAGAUGGACGGACGGAUCGAUCGUCAAUGGACAUCGCCGGUGGUGGGUCGCCGGAAGGACAGCAGCCAGAAACAUUAACGUGGGUGAAAGUGUCCGGCCCUCGCGGCCAUUGGGCCUGUUCUGCGGCUGCGUCGUAGCCGACACCAACAGUGCCGUGCGCACACGACGCAGCCGUAGCCAUGCCGAACAGGCCCAUAUUAUCUUGAGAAUUGCAUCGAACUGAACACAUUAGAUUUUUUAUACACUAUAUUAACAUCGACACUGAGUAAUUUAAAUGAUAAAUAUGAUCAAUUACGGACCGAUCCAGCGUUGUUUUUGAAAAGAUGCUACCGUCCGUUUUCAGCUCUAAGACUACCCGCCAGACAGAAUCUCCCACGGCUUCUCCUCUCAAGAAAAAGAGUAUUGGUCCACAGGCCAUACCCACUCUCGGCCCAAUGUCUCUCCUUUCUCUUCUCCUCCAUGUUGGGCUUACGCGGCUGCGUGAAUGUUUGCAGGCCAUGCAUGCAAAUCAGCCGACAAAUAAAUAAAUUCAGCAUGUCAUUGGUGGUACGCUAUCUUUUCUUGAAAUAUUCCUCUUUAGGCCUCGUUUAACCCCAUAAAAAAUGAUUGAAGUAGAUUUAAGGGAUUCUACACCAUAACAGGUACGGUGCACAAUUAACCCUUUCCAAAUCUCCCUCAAUCGUCCUGAGUGGGGCACGUAGGCGUUCAAAUAAACACGUCCACACACUCACCCAUAUAUGAUAUAUAUGAACGUGUACACACCUUAUUUGCUAUAAGCACCUUUGAAAACUAGAUCAACAUAUCUUGAUAUUUAUAAAACAACCGUAAGCACGUUGUUGGUGAUGGACGCCGUCUAUUACUGAAAAAAUAAUUAGUCAUAAAUAUGUGUAACUGUGUCAAGUCUAUGACUUAAAUUUUUAGUAGACAUGUUACACCACCAUUAACCUAACCAGUUGAGUUAUUCUCAUUUCGCUGCCUAACUUAAAAGAUGGAGCCGCGCGUUGAUAAAUCCACGAUAGUACGCUAUAGAUAGCCACUCUAGUAUAUUUAUUAAUAAAUUAUGCAUGAAGUAAGCUACCCCUAAUAAUUUAAAAGAGAUAUAUAAUUAAAAUAAAUUGAGAUGAAAUAUGUGGCUUUGUUGGGUUGGAUGCACCAAAAAAUAAGUAAGAAAAAGGAAGAAAGGAGUACAACCUAGUGUUGGUAGACUCCAUUACGCGUCCAAAGCAUGCAUGUGUCUGCCAUGUUAUCAACAAAGACACACAUGACACUUGGCAGAGUUAACACGGCAUGAUGGGAUAUGUCACAUAUGGCAUCCGAUUCCAGAAGAGAAAAAAAAGAUGGUAGUGUUAGGUGACAAAGAUGGGGAAAGAACGAAUUAAUAAUUAGGAAAAACUGUAGAUGCCUUGCAGAUCGAGGAUACAGUACACAUGAUCAUCGACUUGGACUGAUGAGCAGCAGCAGCUGGUGUGCAUUUCUCUCGUGCCUCUCGUCUGUGUUUGAGAGCGAGCGACCAACAGUUAAAAAUGGAUUAAGUUAGACUGUACUGUCUCAAUUAAUUCAAAACGCGCGUUUGAUCAGUAUGGGAGAACCUUUAUCUGCUUUCCCGGUAGUAUAUAUAGCUAGGUUGCUAGUUAAAGUGAAUUUCACCAGACUUUUCUUUUUAGAUAAUAUUUCACCUGACUUUUUAGUUCUGAAAAGGUAUAUGGCUGAUCGUGCCAUCUCAGCGAAGAGAAGAAUUUUGGAAAAUGCAUAUGCCAUCGCGAUCAUCCUCAAUCUUUACUAUCAUACCCUUAUUCCGCGCUUUUCCUCGAAGGAAGUUGAGAUAUAUUAUUCACGAAAAAUAUAUACUCCUUUCAUCCUAAAAUAUAGUAACACUCAUUCAUACGUGAAUGGCAAACCUGAAGUAUUGACACCGUUGUUUGUGUGUUCCUAACCAGGAAAGUGUGGAGCUGACUUGAAGAGGACGGCACGGUAGAGGGUAGAGCCUUCUUAAUGAUGCGCCCUAUGACCAUAGUAUAUGAGAAGGCGACCGACAUAAUUAUAAUAUGUGGUAAGGAAUAAAUAGAGGACGGCAUCACAUGAACGAGUAAUAAACUAGGAAAUAACCAAGGUAGAGACGGAAGCACCCAUUGGAAGGGUGAGAGGUGAGUGGCCAAGCUAUGAGCUCAUGACACCCCAUACCUAGAGACCGGGUCUAUCAUAUUAAUCAACAGCCAACCAUUAACUCAUCGAAUCAAUCAAGUAUUUUCACUACUACGGGAAACUAAACCGGUCGGUUGAGAACCUUGCAUAGGUGCCGGUUUUCAUAACUGGUACAUAGUAGACGACACAGACGAGAGAAAUCAAAGGUGUCAGUUUUGAAAAUGGCACCUUUGAGGUCCCAAGAAUAAAAAACAAAAGAAACUCGAUGCAUCGGCUCAAAUCCCAAUCACCCAUAAGAUUUCCAUCUAAGAACAAAAUCACAGAAUUAAGAACAAAAUCAACAUUCAUGAACAAACAUCUAAGAACACAAUCACAGUAUCAAGAACAAAAUGAGCGUCCAUGAACACACACAAAGAAGAUACCAUCGUUGCUGUUGUUGUCGGGCGGGCCGCCCCUGUGCCGCUCUUCCUCCUUGUCAUGGUGGCCAGAUCCAGCUGUCGUUGAGCUCUAGGCGGCUGGAUCUGGCGGUCUCUACCUCCAAGCGAGAGAAACCACCGCCAUCCCAGCGACGGUGAGGGGAGGAGGAGUUGCAGCUCCGAAGAGGCGAGGAGAGGGGAGGAGAGGGAAGCACCAGAGCCAGAGGGGUGGCGCCCCAUAGGAGGCUAGAUGGCCGGCUGCUGAAGAGGGAGGUGAAUAGAGCGGGCAAGAGAGAGGGAGGUGAAGGGCGAGAGAGUGGAUAAGGACAUGCUCCCCCUCCCUUUGCACUAAAAAACUGGUACCAAUAGUAUUGGUGUCGACUUUUCUCUAGAACCCACACCUAUAGUUGCUUAAAAGUGUCGACUCUAUAUUUUUUUUUGGUUCCAUGAAGGUGGGAAAAGCGUCAAUUUAUGCUAGUUUUAAAUUGGGAAGAAAGUUUGAAAUACACCCUUGAUUAUUGGGUGAGUACAAAUUAACCCCCCUAAACUUGAAAAUCAGACAUCCUUGACCCUCAACUAUCAAUACCAGAUGAAUUAUCCCCUAACUCAAUUCGGCGUGAUUUUGGUUUCACGUUGUUGUCCCAUCAGCAAAUCUUUUUUUUAAAUCAGUGGGGCCCACAUAUCAAUCUCUCACCCUCUCUCUAUCCCUCACCUAUCUAUCUCUCUAUACUCUAUCUCUCUGUCUCUCUCUUUCAAAUAUCCUCUCUCUCUUCUCCCUCCCUCACCUUCAUCUCUCUUUAUCAAGGACAGCGGCGGGCGGAGCUCAGGACGGCGGACAGGACUGGCGGAAGGCGGAGCUUGGGACAAGCAGCGGCACCUCUAGCUCUCCGUCACCGAGAGGCAGCGGCAGAGGCGGAGCUCGGGACGACGGAGGGGACGGGCGGAAGGCAGAGCUUGGGACAAGCGGUGGCACCUCUAUCUAUCCAUCAUUGAGAAGCAGUGGCGGAGGGGGAGCACGGGAACAGUGGCGGGCGGAGCUCGGGGCGAGAAGAGCUCGAGACGGCGGAGGGGACGGGUGGCAGGUGAAGCUUGGGACAAGCGGCGGCACCCCCCCCAUCUCUGUCACCGAGAGGCAGCAGCGGAGGCGGAGCUCGAGACUGCCGAGGAUGGUGAGCGGCAGAGGCGGCCAUCUUUCUUUUCCCUCCCCUUCUAUCAAUUGGUUUGGACGACGAGAAACGGAGUUGGCGCUGCAUAGUGGGGCAUGUCACGCCCUGAAGUUUCCCACUUUUCUUGCUUUAAAAUUUUGUUAAAUAAAUCGCCCGAAGAAAUUGUUUAAAUUAACCUAGAGCUAAUUCCUUAAUUAAUGAAUGCAAUUAAUAAUUGGAAUUGGCAUUGUGGGAUUUUUCUUGGGUCCCACAUGUCGUAAUAUAUUAACAGGUUUUUUAGUAGAAUUCUUAGAGCCCUAUAAAUAAUUUUAACCAUUUAAAAUUCAUAAACCGCAAUAAAGUAUGACAGGAAAAUCCUUUUUUUUCUUUUCCUCCUUUUUCCCUCUUGUUGGGCCAUCGGCCCAACCUCUCCCCGCGCCGCCCUCCUUGCUGGGCCGGCCUAAGCCUCCCCCUCCUCUCUAGGACACCGACAGGUGGGGCCCACCUGUCGGUCGUCCCUAACCUCCCACCGCCCACGCCUCGGCAGCAAUCGCCGCUGCCGUCCACGCUGCUGCUCCGCGCCCCGCGCUCACGCCCACGUCGCCGCCCACCUCUUCCACCUCUCCCGCUCUCGCAUGCGCCCGAAAAUGGAUGGGAUUCGAUUUCGAAUCCCACCCCCCUCUCUCUUUCCUCCCCCACGUUACCGGCCAAAUAGGGGGCCACCCCGGCUGUUUCCGCCCCUCCCGCGCCCAUCAAAUCACUCCCCCAAGCCUCCUCUCCCGUUUCUCUCACUCGCCACGCCCUCCCAUGCUUCUUACACCGUCGCGCCGUCACACCAAGCUCCGCCGCCCGCCAACGCACUCCGGCCACGCGUCGCCGCUGCUAGCGCCAUCGCCACACCGCGCAACCACCGCCACCAGCUUUGCCAUCGCGCGAGCCACCUCGGCCGCCACUCGGUUGCCGCAAAUCGCCCCGGAGCUCCGAUUCCCUCGCGCCGCCGGUGAGCUCGCCAUUGUCUCCAUCUCCGAUUGUUUCGUCUCGCCGUGCCGCGGCUCCUCCCUUCACCCUAACCCCUUCACCGCCUUUUCCUAGGUCGCACCGCUCCCGUGCGCCGUUUUCCAAAGCGCCGCCGCCGCUCAUCCCCUCCGCUCACCACUAUCACUCGCCGUCAUCUCUCCGCACACCGGCCACCCCACGGUGAGGAAUCCCCUCUCCUCCUUCUUUUCCUCUCUCCCAUGAGCGCCGCCGCUCCUCCACGCGUGCGUCGUCGUCUUCGGCCGCCGCCGCCACCUUUUCGCGCCGUCCGCCGCCGCCUCCCGCUCCGCCGGUCGCCACCGUCAGUGGCUGUGCACCGCCACCGCUCCCCAUGGCCAGCCGGCCAGUUUUGAGGCCGAGCAGAACCAGACAGCCGCCGCCGUGCCGUCCGAUCGGCCUCGGGGCCGAUCUGGACCGUCGUUCCCGUGGACCGGCGGUGGCCACCCGCAUGGUCCUAGUCCACGGUAGACCAGCGCCCUUUGAGCCGCUGACAUGCGGGGCCCGCUUGCCGGCGCCGGACCCCCUCGCUGACGUCAGCCCUGGGUUUAUUGUGCAAUAAAAUUAAUUAAGGAUUUUUCUUUAUUAGUAAAAACACAGAUUAUCUUCUAAAAUUCAUAAGUAAUUCAUCCGAGCUCCGUUUAAGUCCAUUCAAGUCUCAGUAAAUUCAUAAAAAUCCCUAGAAUUCAUUAAAAAUGGUUUUGUUUCCUGUUUCAGUAGUCUUAUAGCAUGUUUUGCUAGUGUGCUUUGUUUGUCGCAUAGGUUUCGGUCGUUUCGUCGAUCCACGGUUCCACGAAGACGUUGCUGUGGUCUCAUCAGUGCGAGGGCAAGGCAAGUCAUGCAUUACAAUUGAUCAUAUUGUACCCAAUUUACAAAUAUCCUGCAUUUCUAUUAAAUGUUGCAUUCUUUUACAAUAUCAUGUGGGAUGGGUCCUAUUACUCAGCCAUUUUUUGUUUACACUAUGCCAUUGAUAACUUGGGUAUCAAAAUGACUAGAUGUUGGUUUAGGAAAUGCUUAGCAUUGCUUAGUUUAACUAGUGCACAAAUGGGGAUCACAUUAUUACAUAGACUUUGACUAUUAGCAUAGCUUUGGAUUGGUUCCACCGUAAUGUUGUUAGUUAAUUAAAAUACACUGAAUGGUGGGCUAUGGGUGCGUGGUUUUGCUGGUCGCACCCAUGGCAAUUAAGGACCGGUUCACGGGAAACCCUGGAAGACUUGCCAUGCUUACCACAAGUGGGAAUGGGUAACUGCUUGACUUGUAGUAUAGCUCGACCAUUUCCUAGGCACCGGUGACAAGGGUGGGCGUGAUGGAGUUGGGUCAGCUGGGGUGUCCGGUUGUCCAGCUGCUGGAUUCACCGCGGCGCAUGAGGGGACUGCCCACUGCCUGUUGAGGGUUGGGGGUGAAACCUUAGCGUGGUGUGGAUGGUUAGGGGAGGGUUAUGCGAAGGGUCUUGUCACGAUUUCCCCCUUUGCACUAUCAUGGUGAUACUUCGGGGCAUGGCGACAUGUGUGGAAUCGUGUCUUGUGGGUACAGUUGUACACCUCUGGCCAGAGUAAAACUAUUCGAAUAGCCGUGCCCGUGGUUAUGGGCGAUCAACCAGAUUCACCGUGGUUAGUCUUACCCCGAGUUUAGCUUAGUGAACUGGUGUAGUUCAGGUGGUUGGUUGGGCAUGUCGCAACGUGGUGUAGCGUUGGACAGUGAUUGGUUAAUAUGGACUAAUUACUGCAAUUGUUUUACUGCUUUCAACUACUGUUUUUAAAUGCCUGCUUUAUGAAAAUGAACCUUUAGCCUCCUUUGGAUAUAUCCUGCAUCAUACCUCCUCUUCCAGUAUGACUUGCUGAGUACAGUGGGUAGUACUCAGUCUUGCUCUCUUUUCCCACACACCAGAGCGGAAGUUCUUCCCAGUUGGAGAUGUCUCAGAAAGGUUGGUUUCAUUGCUGCCGUUAAGGAUGCCUGUGGAGUGGAGUCGCCCGCUACAGAAGUCAAGUUUUCAAGCUUAGCUCGUUUUAUCUUUUCCGCUGCAUUUGUAAUCUCUUGUAUUUUUGUAAUCCUGGAUAGAGGUUUUAAUACAUAUUCAGCUUAGAAAUUCUGAUUCGUGAAUUUCUGGGCGUGACAGGGCAUCGAGCGGCGGAGGCGGCUCCUCCUCGGCCUCUGCCGGCACACGCCUCCUCCACGACCACCUCGUGAGCUUGCUGCCACCGUCUCCUACACUCGGGGAUGCUCACAGCCAGCGGCGCACGGCUCGUCCUCGGCUUCCGUCGGCGCAUGGGGCUCCUCCUCCGGUCCGUGGCGUACAACUCAUCUGUGGCAUCUGAGAGGAGAGCGGCGAGCGGCGGAGAGAGAGAGAGGUGAGAGAGGAUAAAGAUAGAGAGAAGAGAGAUAUGACAUUUGGGCCCAUCGUUUUUUUAAUAAAAGAAUUGCUAACUGGACAACCACGUAGGACCAUAACCGCUUGCAAAGUUGCUCAGCUUGGUACUUCAUCUCAUAUUGACAGUUGAGGGUAAAAGAUAUCUGGUUCUCGGGUUUACGGGGAUAAUUCGUACUCACCCAAUAGUUUAGGGGUGCAAUUCGGAUUUUUCCCAACCGUAUCUAUGAGUCGUCUUCUAUUAAGGAUUUUGUAGCAGUGUUUAGGCAUGAGGCAUCUUAUUGUCUUGUCUUCGUGACUAGGCUCGUUGUCUUAGGUACUCAUCGGUUGCCCAUAUUCCAUAAAAAUCCAAAACAGCUUAUUAGCCAAUAAAAUUAAGUUAUUGAUAAAACUUUUAUAUAUGUAUUCUUAACGAAUUAAAAGCUAAUGCUGAAAAAACUAACUUGAAAAUAUUUUAAAAUCAACUCCAAAAUUAAAUUUAAGAAUUCAAAAUUUAACUUCGUUUUGACUUAUUAGGGUAACCAACGGGCUCUUACGUUUAUUCGACAAUUCAUUUUUGUCGUUAACUCACUCAACGCACGUGGAUGCACCACGACACUAAUUAACUAUAAUUAGUUAAUUAGCCAACAUGCAUGCGUCGUGACAUGAGCAGGCUCGGCUAAGUCUUUGCCCAGAGUGGUGUGAUGGUAUAAUCUUGGAUAUUUUUUUUACCAAGCCGUUUUAAACCCUCGAGAAUAUAUCUCCUCGUUUUUCUUAAAAAGUAUUUAAAUAUUUAUAGAAAAUUUUUGAAACAAAUUGAUAACGGUGGUGGAAGGACUGAGGGUCGUUAUGAUAGUGGAUAUGGAUGGGCAGAAAAAAAAAACCGAACCGAAAUAAUCAUAUCGAACUAACCGAGACCAAAAAAUUUGGUCUGCAUUUUCACUAACCGAAUUUAGAUCGGUUAAUUCUGUCUUUGGCGUCGGUUAACCAAAUUGAUCGAAAUAUAUCAUUGGCCAAAUAAUACAGAUGACAUCUCAGCCCACUAAGCCCAAUACCACCUCAUCCGGAGGCAACCAACUCCCUGCUGCACCACCACAAGAUCUUUUCAUCCCCAAUCCCCACCUUAUGCGCAUCUCCGAAGACUGCAAAUUCCCCCACCGUGCGGUGCUGCCAUUGACGACCUGUGACUGCGAUGUGCUGCCCCUGCUGCCGCCGCAUCUCGCCUCUCACCCCAAAACCAACAACCCCUGCCACCGCCGCCACAUCUCGGCGCCCUCUGAUGCAUGCCGGCCAGCCACACCUCGUGGAGGCCGUGCGCGGGAGCUAGAGACCUCGCCGACAUCGGCCAUGAGCAAAGAGAUGGGAGCCGCAGUAACAACAACGGCAGGAGGCGAUGGGAUGGAUGGGAUCUUGGUCCCUGGAGCCAUCUAGAACAAUUGAUGGCAGAGAUCGAUGGGGAGUAUCGAUUUGCUUCUUUUUUUUUCUUUUUCUUCAGAAUCCCAUCGAUCUGCUUUUUUUUUCUCAGAAUCGUGCUCGAUUUGCUAGUGGCAUCAAAUAGUAGUGCAUCAUCUGUGUGUUUCCUUUAAUUCAUUGAUCAUGUACAGAUUACUUGCCAUUCUUUUUUGUUGUUCGAACUUUUGUAACGGUUAGUUCGGUCUAUGACCGAGACCGAACCGAACUAACCAAAGACCGAAGUGCUCGGUCGUUAAAGACCGAAUUUUCAAAAAGACCGAGGAACCGAACCGAAUCUCUCGGUUAGACCGUGUUGUCGAAACGACAACUAUAUACGUCGAAGGAUGUGGUUACUCAACAGUGGUUGGGAAAAUGAAGUGUACUAAAUUUUGAAUUUUCCUUGGGAUCCCCCCAUUAGAUAGCCCUAGGGGACUAUUUAUAGCCCCAUUACAGGUCCUUACUACCAGGGUUUAGGUUGUACAGGAAAAUUUACAUGAUUACCCUUACAAAAGGGGCAUUUACAGGGGUACAUAAUGUUAUAGGGGCUCAUGGGCCCCUGAUGGGCCGUCUGGCGAUCGCCGGCCUGAUGGGCUGGAAAGGCUUCCUCAGCCCUCGCGGGGGCGAACUUGUCAAGGCGAAGUCAUCCUCCUUCGGCAGACAGUCUUCGCCUUGCACCCUUCGCCUGAGACGCCUCUGGCCUGGCGCUACUCUUCGCCUUGCACCGCUCUUGCUCCAUAGCCUUCGCCAUGGGUUUCGGCAGGUUUGGUCGAAGAGCCUCAUGCCAUCCGCCAACAAGCCCCUCACGGGCAAGGGUGAGACUGGAGCUUCGGCCGAGACCGUGCAAACCAUGUGGUAUGGUAUGCGGCGCCCCCUUUCGACCGAUGCUCCUGCCGAAACCUACAUUAUUCCUGCGAAUGAAGUUUGUUAUUUGUGCGGCUGGUAUUAUUUUGCCGCGCUUCGCCUCGUGCGAUUGAUGGUUAUAUAUAUUCUUUUUUCCUGGGCCGAACGGAAUAGUAUUGGGCCUUCCUAUCUUUAGGCUUUUUACUGUGCCGCUCGGUUGAUGGGAAUUUACCGUUUCGCCUACCCUUGCGACACGUGGCGCUUUAUUACUGGUGGGUAGGCGAACGGUCGCCUGGGCGGGCUAUAUAUUCCUGCUGCUCUUUCCUUUUCACCGCCACACUUGCCAUUUUACCGCGCGCGCUCUCUUUCUCCGUCUCUUCCCUUCACAGCAUCUUUCGACCCCUCAGGCGUUUUGCCGAAACUCUUUUUUCGCCACCGAAAACGCACCGUUCGCCAUGGCCCCACGUACGCCAAACCCUACUUCGGCGAAAGGGCCAGAUCCCGGCCGAGUCGAUGACGACAGCACUGCCUUUCUGGGGGUCUCUCUUGUGGACGACGUCGAGCUGGCGAAGCUGGUGAGCUCCGGAGCGUUGGUUAAGGGGCAGGCUUUUGCUCCAGGGAAAACCGUGGUGCCGAAACCUGUCGACAAUCGGACGGUGGUGUUCGCCAUAUUUUUUGAGGCAGGGCUACGGUUUCCCUGCAACGUGUUGUUGCCAGAGAUCCUUCGCCUCUUCUAGGUGGAACUUCCGCAGCUGAGCCCGUCGGCGCUUGUUCGGAUCGCCAUCUUUGACUGGGUGUGCCGGACUUCCAGGUUUGAGCCCAACGCUGAGCUCUUUGGCGCCAUAUUUUUCGCCACCGUGAACUCGAAGACGGUGAUUACCCCGGCUGGAACGAAAAAAACAGUGUUCGGGAGCGUGAACUUCAACGUUCGCCCCGAGCGGUCCGAUCUCUGGCCGGUGAACGCUGCCAUGUCGAAGUGGGACCGCCAUUGGAUGGCAAGGUGGUUCUACCACACCAUCCCCUUCGAGGCUAGUUCUGAAUCAGCGAAAGCCCUUCGAUGCCGGCGCAGGGCGAUUGCGCCGAACCGGAGACCCAAGAUCGCUGUGGACGGCGCCAUGGAGGCGCGGUUUGUUCUACUGCGGAAGGUUUGCUCCCGCCUUAGCUGCCGUGACUUGGUGGAGGAAUUUUGUAUGCUUCGUAUUUUUCCCCUCUCCCAGUCAUGGCAAGUCGCGGUUGAACAAGGCGAAGAGGUCGACGGUUUGCCGAACCUGAUACUUCCUGAGGGGGCGAACGGUAAGACUGUUCUUUUGCUAUAUAUUGUUGUGCUUUGUUAUUUCGCCUUAUUUGACUUUUGACAUAGCUUCACAUUCUACUUUUACAGUGUUGACCCUCGACCAGGCCGAAGCCGAAGCCCGCAGGAUGAUCGGCGAUGUUUCGGUCGUCGAGUAUAGUCAACUGUUAACGCGUCAAGCGGCUGGGCGGGCGAACCGGGUUUACAAUGGCGAACUGCCUCCCCGGGCGAAUCCCCAAAAGGCCGACGACGAGGCAGGGCCUUCGCGAAAGCGGAUGCGUGGACAAGUGAAGCUUGCCCCCAAGAAGCGAAGGGUUCCUGCUUCGUCUGACUCCGACGCCGACGACGAGGAUGAUGCCGAAGAACGUGACGGGGAGGAGGAAGGAGAGGAAGAGGAGGAGGUGGAGGCUGUGGCUGAUAAGGCCGCGGGUGAGGCGGUCGAAGACCGCGCCGACACCCCCGGGUACACUCCUACCCCAAGUCCUGGUCACAACGAAACCAGGGUGGAGUCGAACAGCUCCCCCCUUUGUCGGAAGGAUUUGGAAGGGGUGAAGGCCCUAGUUGCGUUCUCUUCGGGCGCGGCGGCGAAGGGAGGUCCUGUCAAAAAGGUGGCUAAAAAGAAAGGGCUCGUCGAUGUCACUCGCGUUUUUAGCGAUGACGAGUCCUCCGACGGGACUCCGACUUCGCCCGCUGGUCGCAGCGUGGAUCUUUCAGCCGCCCCCAUUCCUCCACUUGGCGCCGCUGGAGUGGACGGUAGUACCGCCGCUUAGGCUUCGGCUUCUGCGGAAAGGAUUGUGAUGGCCGCGGCGAAAGUAUUCGGCAGUCCUCCGCAUCAGCCGGUUGACUCGCCGCUGAUGGAGGCGAAGGGAAAGAGAGCGGUCGCUGAGACAUCCACUUCGGAAUAUUCGCUCCCAGUACCCCGCUUCGCCCUUGGCGACUUCGAGACGCGAGCGGACCUCCUUCCUUUUGUGGAGGGGGUAAGCAAUCUUGUACUGCCCGCCAGCGCCCUGAGCUUGUUCACCGAACUGAAUGAGUUCGACGAGGGGUGCUCUGCUAUAAAAAGCCUAGCUGUUCGGGUACGUUUCCCCCCCGAUUUUAUCUUUACUCUUCCUCUAUCUUGUUUUUACAAUUGACACUUGUUCUCUUCGCCGCUCGUAUUCUGCGCCCAGAUCCUCGCGGCUCACUGCUCAACGGAGCGAACCGUGCGAGCUCGACUUGAUGGGUUCAAAAGCCAUCUUCGGGCCAAGGAUGACGAACUAGGCCGCAAAAAUUUAGAGAUGGAGGCCCUUGCAAACACCCUUAAGGAGGCGAAGGCCGAAAACAAGCGGCUCCAAUCGAAACUAGAGAAAGGGAAGGAAGCUAGGGCCGAAGUCGAUCGCUUAAAGGCCGAACUAGAGAAAGAGAAGGCCCACACCGCCGUGCUCAUAGAUUAUUAUAACCUCACCGAGCCGAAGAUGGAGGCUCUUCGGCAGGAGGUUCGCAAGGCCAAAGCAAGCGCUGUAGAGGAGUCGCGGCGGUUUUCGCAGGAAAUGGUGAAAACCACCGAGUCCGCGCGGACAGCGUGCCAAACGCUUCGCCUUGCCCUUACUGAUAUGGGCGCGAAGGUGCGGGGUGUCCCCUCCGAAGAUGCCUCAGCCUUCGACUUCUCCGAAUGGACCUAACAGGCUGGUGGUUCGGUUUCAGACUACGCCACCGCAUACGGCGAUUGCUGUGCACGCGUGUCAGCGGCCUUUACCAUGGGCCUCCUGCAGCAGUUCGGCUACGAGCACAUCGCCGAGUUCCCCAAGUACGCGAAGGGGGAUUGGGAAAUCAGUGGGCAAGACAUUUCACCUGCACUUCGUGCGUGGCGAAAACAAUUUUGGCAGAAGGACGGCCGCUCCGCCGCUAAGGCGCGCCUUUUGGAGCAGCUGGCGAAAGCGGAGGCGGCGGACAUUUGUGAAGAGGAGGGCGCGGCGGCCGGAGGGGGUGGAGGCGAUGCCCAGGAUCACCCAGAGGUGUGAGGCCCUCCGCCCUUCUCUUAGAUUUUCAUAGUUUUCUUUUGGUGUUCGCUAGAUGUGGCGAACCAUUGUAUAUUCGGCAAACUGCCGCUAAACCUUAAAAAAGGCUUUUUUGCAUACUUGGACUGUAUGAUAAUUUUAACCACUUUUUAAUGAUCAAAGUCUUUGGCAUAUUAUUAUUUCGCUCAUUUUGCAUUAUGCCAAACCUUCCCCUUCUUUCGCCUAUUCUUACCAUGCAAGAUGUGUUUUGCCUUUUCUACACUGUCUACCAGGGGGUCUGCCGAAAAUCAUGCAUUCGACCCCCUUCUGGGAGCUGGAGAAGUCAAAACGAGAAAUUUGUGGCAUUAAAGGGUUUGCCGAAGGUGCGAUGUCCAUUUCGGCCUGUUUAUCGCGAAAUGGAAAAAAACGGUCGCAGCUAUAAAGUUUUCAAGGUUGCCAACUGGCUGCGGGCGCACCCCGGGCGAACCUUAGAAGAUUACGAUCUUGUUCAUUCAAGACGUUUGGAGGAUAUGGCUCGCUUUUGGCGAAACCAUCAGAAGACUAAACGCCAGGAAUCGAUCUUUCAGCGUCGUUACAGUUUAGUCUGUGUUUCGCCCCCUACUCCUCUUAAGGUUGUGUAUAAUAUUAGUAGUGAUGACGAACCUAAUUCGUCCGACCAUUCCUUAGGGAGGGAUAAUGAUUACUGGGGCGAAAAUGUAAUUUACUUGUAAAAUGAAUUGUAUUGGGUUGUAAACCUUGUAUUCUUCGAUUAUUUUUUCGAAGCUAAUAAAGAACGUGCUUUAUUUCCUUUUCGCUAUUUUUCGCAUCGUCACACUUUGUGCUUUUGUUAGGUCGGAACAUGCCGGCCCCUUUGCAUAUAGUAGCGAAAUAGGUGUAGUGACUUCUUUUCGUCGUUCGUUUUCGAUCUGUAGCGUUCUGUGUCGAGAGAAACGCUUUUGCUUUUAUGCUGAUCGGUCGUAACGUCGUUCGGCUAUUUAUUUUCCGAGACAAGCUGUUGCGGUUUCAACGUUCGGCGAGCAAUGCUUCGGCCGAUUCGUUUCGCCCCCCUGGUCUUUUUCGCUGAUCAGGCGUUUGUCUUGGGGUUUUUCCACAAAUUAUCAAUCACACGAAAAGAAAUAAAAAGAAGGCGGAGGACACAAAGAUUUUAUACUGGUUCGGGCCUCCAUGGUGGAUAAUAGCCCUACAUCCAGUUUUUUUUUCUUUUUCUCUUCUCUUUUUUCCUUUUUUUUUCUUGCCGAAAGGCUUAUAUAGUGCCGAAAGGCUUACAUGACAGUAUGUACAUUUUUACAAGUUGGCGAUUUGGGUGCCACCCAUUCUAGACAUAAAAGCGCUUGAGGGAGGCGGCGUUCCAGGAAUGGUCGAACUCCUCGCCUUCGAGUGUCGCUAGGCGAAAAGAUCCCGUCCUGGACUUGUGUUUGAUAAUGUAUGGUCCUUCCCACUUUGAUUCAAGCUUGCCAACCGCUAAUGGGUUCGCCUUUUUCCUUAGGACAAGAUGACCAGGCAUCAGCUCCGUGGGUCGGACUUUUUUGUUGUAAGUUGCCGAAGUGCUUGUGGCGUACUUGUGCAUGUGCUCGAGCGCUUCGACCCUUACAGCUUCCAAGAGUUCGAGCGAUACCUCGCGCCCCUCUUCGCCCCCGGAGAACAUAACCCUUGGUGAGUUAGCCCCUAGCUCCGCUGGGAUCAUUGCAUCAUCGCCAUAAAGAAGCAUAAAUGGGCUAAACUUGGUUGGUCUUAUGGGGGUCGUCCGAAGGGCCCAAAGAACCGAUAACAAUUCUUCUGGCCAUUUGCCUUUCGCCGCCCCCUCAAGUCUUUUCUUUAGUGCUUCUAAGAUCUUGCCAUUUGUACGUUCGGCCGCCCCAUUUGACUGUGGGUGCGCGACCGACGCGAACCUGAUUUCUAGGUUAAGCGCUUCGCACAUUUCUCUGAACUUAUCAGAGUCAAACUGCUUGCCGUUGUCAGUAAUGAACUCUUUUGGCACCCCGAAAUGGCAAAUAAUAUUUUUCCAUACAAACUUCUGUACUGCUGCCGAAGUGAUUGCCCCAAGGGGUUCGGCUUCGAUCCAUCGAGAGAAAUAUUCCACAGCUACAAUUACGAAUUUAUACCCGUUUCGCGCCACCGGGAAUGGCCCAAUAAUGUCCAGUCCCCAUCUGGCGAAGGGCCAUAUUGGUGCAAUGGGCUGCAGAUCAUACUGGGGCGCGGCUUGGCUUCGGCCAUGACGCUGGCAACUUUCGCACUUCUUGAUUUGCUCAACACAGACUUUCAUCACAGUGGGCCAAUAAAGUCCUUGUCUAAAUACUUUGGAGGCCAUUGUUCUUGCAGCCUGGUGCGCGCCACAUAGCCCUUGGUGUAUUUCCUUUGCCAUUUCUUCGCCUUCGGCAAAAGAGAUGCAACAAACUAAGGGUUGAAGUACCCCGGAGCGGUAAAGCUGACCCGAGACCAUCUUAUACUUCGUGGCUCUGAGUUGCAAACGCUUCGCUUCUGCUUCGUCUACCGGAAGCCAGCCAGUUUCAAGGUGUUUCACAAAUGGGGUUCGCCAGUCAUAUGAGUCUUCGCCCAGUUUCUCUUGGUCGAUUGUCAUGACUUCCGAGCUGUCCAUGGGCACACUUGGAGCAUGUAGGACUUCGAAAAAGAUGCCAAGCGAAUGCGGGCCACCACAAGCAGCGGAUUUCACCAAGGCGUCUGCUUCAUCGUUUUGGUCUCUAGGCAAGUGUUCGACCGUUAUGCCGGUGAAGCAUUUUUCCAUGGACCGAACAGCCUCCAGAUACCUCUUCAUUCCCUUUUCUUUUGCCUCGAAGGAUUUGUCAACAUGGCCUGCUACCAACUUGGAGUCAGUUCGAAUUAGCAGGCGCCGGACUCCCAGUGCUUUCGCCUUUCUUAGGCCCAGGAGAACGGCUUCAUAUUCUGCUGCAUUGUUGGUUGUGUUGAACUGUAAUCUCGCUGCGUACCGAAUCGGCACACCAUUCGGCAAAAAGAGGACUGCCGCAACGCCUGCCCCCUUGUGCGACCACGAACCGUCAGAGCACAUCACCCAGAACUGGUCAUCGGGCUCGGGCUCGGGGGCAAGUACUGGUGUCCAUUCAGCUACGAAGUCAGCUAGCACUUGAGACUUGAUAGCAGAGCGUGCAACAAAAUGCAAGUCGAACGGGGAUAGCUCUGCCGCCCACUUGCUGAGCCGGCCAGUGACUUCCUUGCCUCGGAGUAUUUCGCCCAAGGGGUACUGUGAUGGGACUAUGCUUUGUGGGCCUGGAAGUAGUGCUUAAGCUUGCGCGAAGCCAUUACUAGAGCGUAAGCAAGCUUUUCCAUUUCAAUGUACCUUGUCUUCGCUCCUUGCAGUGCUUCGGAGACGAAGUAGACCGGUUUCUGUCCGGACUCUGUUUCUUGGACGAGUGCAGCACUGACUGCCACCGGUGAAGCUGCCAAGUAUAACAGCAGUUCGCUUCCUGGGGGUGGGCUUAUCAGAGCUGGCGGGCUUUGCAAGUAUUGCUUUAGCUCGUCGAAUGCUGCUUGGCACUCUGGUGUCCAAUUAAACUUUCCCGCGCCCCGGAGGGUCUUGAAGAAGGGCAAACCUCUUUCGGCCGCCUUUGAGAGGAAUCGACUGAGUGCUGCAAUUCGGCCUGUAAGCUUUUGUACUUCAUGUACGCUUGACGGAGGCUUCAUUUGCUGGAUGGCAUCGAUUUUCUCGGGAUUCGCCUCGAUGCCCCUUUCGGAAACAAGGAAACCCAACAACUUGCCUGCGCGGACGCCAAAAACGCACUUCACCGGAUUCAGCUUUAUGCCUGCCGCGCGCAAGCUGUCGAACGUCUCUUGCAGGUCGAACGCAUGGUCGAAAGCCUUGCGGCUUUUUACGACGAUGUUGUCGACGUAAGCUUGUACGUUUCGCCCAAGCUGCUUGCCAAGGACCUUGUACACCAGCCUGGCGAAGGUUCCUCCUGCGUUCCUUAAGCCGAAAGGCAUCCUGAGGUGACAAAAUGUGCCGAAUGGAGUGAUGAAGGAUGUUUUGGGGAUGUCGAGCGGGUUCAUGUGGAUCUGGUGGUAACCGGAAUAUGCAUCCAGGAAACUCAUGAGCUCGUGUCCAGCUGUUGAAUCCACGAGCUGGUCGAUUCGCGGCAAGGGGAAAUCGUCUUUCGGACAUGCCUUGUUCAGGUCUGUGAAAUCGACACACAUGCGCCAUUUGCCAUUUGACUUCCGCACCAGCACUGGAUUCGCCAACCACUCCGGAUGGUCAAUCUCUUGAAUAACCCCCGCCCAGAGUAAUUUUUGUACUUCGGUCUUCGCCGCUUCUUGGUGAUCGGCAAACAUCUUGCGCAACUUUUUCUUUCUUGGCUUAAUAUUUGGCUUGACUGCUAAGUGAUGCAUGAUGAGAUCCGCCGGGACGCCCCCCACCUCGUUAGGGCUCCAGGCGAAGAUAUCGAUGUUCUUUUUGAGCACCUCUAGCAUGCUCUCAACUUCUUCUUCGCCUAUGUGGCCCCCCCAGUGAUACGAGCUUUGUGGGGUCGGCAUCGUCAAUCUGCACUUUUGUUAUCUUGCCGUGAGGGGUGGGCUUCGGCGUGUGCUUGGGCCGCUCAUGCGGUUCGGUCUCAACAUUGUGCACUGCUCUGUUGAUUAUGGCUAGAUCGCGUUUUGAAGCGGCCGAAGGCUGAAGCCCCUUGACUACUAUCACCCCUGUUGGGCCAGGCAUCUUGAGCUUGAGAUAAUUAUGGUGGGAAAUGGCUUCGAACUUGUUCAGGGUUGCACGGCCGAAGAUGGCGUUGUAGUUGUAUGGGAUGUCGACGACGUCGAACAGUAUUUGCUCUUCGCGCCUGUUUUCUCCUAAGCCGAAAGCUAUCAGCAAAAGUGCUUGGCCAAGAACUUGCACUGCCUCUCCGCCGAACCCCCGGAGCGACGUUGGUGCCGGUGCAAGAGCUUGGGUUGGCAAGCCCAUCUUAGCAUAUGCUUCGGCGAAGAUCACGUCGGCCGAACUCCCCCUAUCGACCAGGAUUCGUCGGACUUCAAAACCGGCUAUCUCAGCUGAGAUUACCAGUGGAUCUUGAUGCGGGAAUAGGACUCCUUCGUCGUCUUCUGGCCCAAAAGAGAUCAGCUGGUUCACGUACUGUGGCGCCCCCUCACCCGCCGAAGUGAUGUUGUGGACCAUACGGAUCUGCAUCUUCCUCCGCCGUUUCGACAACAGGCUUGGCGGAUCAGCUCUUGUAAUCACUUGGAUUACCCUUCGUUGUGUAUCUUGGCGUUGUUCGGCUGGGGGUAUUUGCUCCUGAACUGCUUCACGGGGUGCUUCGACAGUUGUUCCUUGCUGCGGCCUUGGGUCUUGCGCGUUGCCACGUUGCCUAAUGUUUCGGCAUUGCUCCGUGGUGUGCGAAGAGCAUUCGUGAAAAGCGCAGUAGAGGUCUUUUCGGACCUUCUUGCGGGCUGGCUGCUGAUGGUUGCUUGCUUGCUGGGCGUCGAACUCCUUGCGUAGGGCUUGCACUUCUUCGACAGCCAUCACAGCCUUGCCCGCCCGAUCUGUUCUGAACUUUCUCCAAGUCAUGGGGGCUUGGCCUUGCCUUGGCGGCUGUCCCUGGAUCGCCGGCUAAGACUGGCGAACAGAGAAGGGAGGUGGAUCGGCAAUUUGAACUUGUGCUUGAGCUUGAGCAGCGGCGACGGAGGCUUUAUCGUACUCAGCUUGUAUAGCUUGCCGUCGCUUAGAAUCCUCCUCGCCCCUUGCGAACCCGUCAAUGAUGCGAAGUAGGUGCUCGAGCGUCUGCGGCUCCUUGUUGGCGAUUUUUCUUGUUAGUUCGCCCUCAAGCAGACCGGCCGAAGCGGCGUUUAUAACCGACGCCUCGGUUAUGUCUUGAACUUGGCACCGGGCUUGCGAGAAGCGACGCAUGUACUCCCUUAUCGACUCUCCCGGCCUUUGGCGAAUGCCAAGAAGGUGUUGCUGCGUCUUCGGCUCCUCAUAGGUGCCUCAAAAGUUAAGGACAAAAACAUCGCGCAAUUGCUCCCAUGAGUAAAUGCUAUUGGCUGGUAAAUUGAAAUACCAAGAACGGGCGAUGCCGUCUAGAGCGAGAUGUAUUACCUUCGCCUUGGUAUUUUCGUCACCAUGAGCCGCUUCGAUCGCUGACUCGUAGAUGGAGAGGAACUCCUUCGGGUCAGUUUCGCCCGAAUAAUGUGGGACAGGUGGGAACUUGAACUGGGGCGGGAUUGGACGAGUCUUGAUUCCCCCACUCAGCGGCAGCCCCUUUUCGCCUCCCGCCCUGUUUACCGCACCUUGCUGCGGGUACGGUAUGGCAAAGGGCGAAAUCACGGCUUGUGCGUGGAGUUGGGCCGCGGCAUUCGACUACCCGGCUCCAACUGGUGGUACUUGCUGGGCCACCAUGGAUGGGUCAAAGAUUGGCUGCGACGACAUCAUGGCAGCUUGGAUUGGUGCUUGGUUUGUUCCGAAGCCUAGGGUUGGAACUUGCUGCCGAACGGUUGUCACCUGAGCAGUGUUGCCGAAGUCGAACUACUGUCCUUUACUCCACGGCGAAGGUCCCGAGCUUGGCUGAAUCGGUGGCAACCAAUUAGGUGCACCUUGACUUGUAUUCCCCACCGGGUGAGCCGAUGGGGUUGUACUUGAAAUGUAGUGGGGUUGGUUGAGUUGCUGAAGGAAAGCUUAGAGUUGCGCCUGCAGAGUCGAAGCCCCUUCCGUCACUGUUUGUGUCACUUGGCCAGGUGGUUGAUGCUGCUCGGCGAAGUACACCGGCGGCUGUGCGGCUAGUGGUGGAGAGGGCUGGGUCACCACUUGCGGCCGGACUUGAGGUGGGGCAUAGCCUGCCGAAUACUGAAGGAUUGGAGCCGACGUUGCCUUGGUCCGCCUUGUCGCCUCGUAUGCUUGUUGUUGUUCUUACAUUUGGCAAAGCAUGUCUUGGAGCCGUGUCAUGUUCUGCCGCAUGGCUUCCAUGUCGGCUUCGGCUUGCACUUCGGGGUCCAGGCUGAUUUGGGCCUGUACAACGGCGAGCGCAAUCGGCGCCGCCGGCUGUGAUGGGGCGGCUUGAGGCACCACCAGUUGGUUUGUCGAAAGGUUCCCCGCCCUGGUCUGGAGUGCCCUUGCCGCCGCAGCCGCCUUCGCCACAUCGGCCGUGUUCGGCACUUGCACUGAGGUUGCGGGGGCCGAAGACAGUUGUGAUGGCGCGGGGGCCGAAGGCGGCUGUGAUGGCGCUUGUCCUUCUCCAUCUUCGGCCACGGACGCCGAAGGCUCUGCUCCUUCCUCGGCGGCCAUGUCUGGUCCGUCGUCGCUCUCCUUCCGCCUGACGGCCUUCUCCUUCACGACCCUCUUCGGUGGCACUCGCUCUCAGUGGUUUCGCUCGGAGUCCCCAUGGACGGCGCCAGCUGUUGUCGAAACGACAACUGCAUACGUCGAAGGACGUGGUUACUCAACAGCGGUUGGGAAAAUGAAGUGUACUAAAUUUUGAAUUUUCCUUGGGAUCCCCCCAUUACAUGGCCCUAGGGGACUAUUUAUAGCCCCAUUACAGGUCCUUACUACCAGGGUUUAGGUUAUACAGGGGAAUUUACAUGAUUACCCUUACAAAAGAGGCAUUUACAGGGGUACAUAAUGUUAUAGGUGCUCAUGGGCCCCUGAUGGGCCGUCUGGCGAUCGCCGGCCUGAUGGGCCGGAAAGGCUUCCUCGGCCCUCGCGGGGGCGAACUUAUCAAGGCGAAGUCAUCCUCCUUCGGCAGACAGUCUUCGCCUUGCACCCUUCGCCUGAGACGCCUCUGGCCUGGCGCUACUCUUCGCCUUGCGCCGCUCUUGCUCCAUAGCCUUCGCCAUAGGUUUCGGCAGGUUUGGUCGAAGAGCCUCAUGCCAUCCGCCAACAGACCGAAUGCCCACCCCUAAUGGUGGAGGAUGAGCAAAUGGUGGAUUAAAGUACAGUUUAACAACGUUCUAAAAUUAUCUCAGCUCAUGGGAUAAGAAAGUAAUGUUGGUUGGUUUUAUCGGCUAAUACCGGUUAGCUAGGGAAGGGGUAAAAUCCUACCAGAUUUCCUUUCCUAACAGGAAAGAAACGAAACAAUAAACGAAGGGACAAGAGAUAAACGUUACCGUGAUUGGUGAUAACAAAUUUUGAGUCUUAUCCGGAUCGACCCCGAGUCUCACCAGUGCAAAUAAAAAGAAAUGAAGGCAUUGAGGAGAGGUGACGACUAAUUCUCUACGUGUAAAUUCUGAAGCCCUAAAAAAGAGCCCGAUUGAUCUCAAACAGUGGAAAGGGUUUAUAGUGCAAACCACUCCUGUGCAGGUGAAUCAAGAAGGACAACAGAAGAAUCAAAAGAAAUUAGCAAAACUUCAAUUCAUCUGGUCAGUAAUUAUCUCAAUUCCGUAUUUAGAAUUGAUGAUCAUGUCUUAAGCUAAAAAAUAGAUCUUGAGUAAAUAAUUUCAACAAGUAAACGCCACCAUUAAUGAUACCUCUAUUUUCUAAAAAAAAAACCCAUUAAUGAUACCUCUUGCUGCUCUGCCAUCGCAUUGGUCGCCUAAUUACGGUUGCUUAAUUUCAUCCAAAUCCGAUCCAUCGCUCUCGAUCGAUGCUGCCUGCUGAAGAUCAUAGCUUGGGAUUUGGGAAUUGAAGUUGGGGCCUACAUAUGGUCAUAUGCCCAUCCACGUACAGUUGCAAACAUGCUCCUCUGAUUUCCUGCCGGGUCCGUGUCACGCGUCUACAGGACAAGCUUGUGUUGUGUGUGGAGUACACAAGGACGUACAAGAUGCUGUUUAUCAUUGUACGGAACGGAGGUUUAUGGCAGGUAAACGUCGCGUGAGUGACAGGACAUGGAGCUAAUUCCUGACGUUAACAGAGUUGAUUACUAUACUACUUCAUUUUACUUUAACUGUUUUAAAAUAUAAGGCUCGUAAGUUUUUUAAGGUAGCUUUAACAUAAAGUUUUGAAUAUUAAUAUAUUUCUUUUACUAUCAACGGCUAUAUAAAUUUGGUAUCAUAUGAAAAAUACAUUUAAAUGAAUGUAAUAAUGUCACAUGGUGCAAAACAUAUAAAUUAUUUUUAUAAUACAGCAAAUGCACAUGUACACACAACACCACCCUCGCACACCCUCGUGAACCCAUCUUUUAACACACGGUUAAAGAGACAGAAACCAACCAUACAUUCUUAAUUUCACUAAAUUUCUAUUAAAACAGUGUAUUCUUGAUUUCAUAAAAUUCUUAUAAUCACCCGUGCUCCCUAAUACAUAUAAAUUAUUAGUUCAAUUAUUAAUUAAAGUUUGUAAAUUUUGAUUUUUUUUAAUAAAAAAACAUGUGGAUGUCUUUUGCGGUGGGACUAGAGUAGUACAGUAGUGCUCCUUCGGCUCCUGAAUGGUCAUUUCUUUUUUUUGACUCUUGUGAAUACUCUCUGCUGCAUUAGCCUGCUGUAUGAUUAUCUCCUCUGCAGUCUGCAGUGUGCACCAAUGGCGAGCUGGUCAGUCAUUUACAACAUUGGCUGGGUGUUUCCCUUCAAACUUCAAAUUUUUCCGUUAUUUAAAAUUUUUUUGAAAAAAUUUAAAAACAUAAGUCACGAGUAAAGUACUAUUCAUGUUUUAUCAUAUCAUAACAAACAAAAAAUAUUAAUUAUAAAAAAAUUUUAAAUAAGACGGAUGAUUAAAAUUGGACGUGAAAACUUAUGGUUAGACUGAAAUGGGACAGAGGGAGUACUAGCAGGAGACAGUGGCAACGAUGUGUUUACCAAUGGGGAAAUUAUGGUACCCCGCACUUUGUCGGUGUAUUCUACUAGUAACUAAUAGUAGAAUAGUAAAAUCAACAAAAAUCAAUGCAGGUCAUGAGUUAAACCGUGAACCUGCAGAGGGCAGACUGGAACAAACCAGGUACAGAUUGGAUUACCCAUGAUGCUUAUUUUACGUACUAAUGCCUCCCUCUCAAAAAUAAAUUCAUUUUCUAUCGAUCCAACGUAUAUCAAUAUAAAACCAAAAUAACUAGAAAAUCCCCACUUUAUCAAAUCCAAAUUUAAUUAUGUUUCUUUAUCUACCCUGAUACAUUUAUCAUAUACUUUUACAAACUCUGAUGUACUGAUUGCUUGAAAAAAGAUAUUAUUUUGAGAUAAAUGGGAGGGACCAAAGACUUAUGUAGAGAUGGAGGGAGGAGAAGAGAGCCCGUACCAUUUUCACUGUAUUUAUGAAGGGCGCUAAUUCAAAAUGUAAUAUUUAGGAUAAACAGUUUUGAUAUUUUAGUGUUGGAUAGUACUCUCUCCGUUUUACAAUGUAAGUCAUUCUACCAUUUCCCACAUUCAUAUUAAUGUUAAUGAAUCUACACAUAUAUAAUCUAGAAGAAACUCAACAGGAGCAGUAUUAAACAGAACUGGACAGCAUAGAAGAUGCACACACAUAUAUAUUAUUAUUUAUAUACACUACUAAGUAGAAAAGAAUGCCACAGACACGGUAAUAAAAAUGGCAGUAGAUACAUAAGAAAUAAUUUAAUUACACUAGCUAGCAGUGGCACAUCUGAAAAAACAACGUGAAAUAAAAGGGAAAAAAAGCAAGCAGAAAGCUAGCUCAUCACUUUAUUCCAGAAACGGUACAGUGUAGUGACUCGCUCGCUCCUCCCUCUGGCGAAAUAAUGUCGUCAAUGCCUCAAUCGUGCAGCAGCAAGUGCUCGGUCUCCGGUGAUCGCCGUCACUGGUCGGUCGCUGGCGGUAUGUGCGGCGGCUUGUGCUUCUUCGGAGGUGCUUCAGGUUUUGGCUCAGGCUUAGGCUUAGGUUUCGGUUCAGGCUUUGGCUCUGGGUAUGGUUUAGGCUCCGGUUUUGGUUCGGGCUUAGGCUCUGGUUUAGGUUCAGGCUUCGGCUCUGGUUUUGGCUCCGGCUGUGGCUUGGGCUCUGGCUUUGGUUCUGGGUGUGGUUUGGGUUCUGGUUUGGGAUCCGGUUUAGGCUCUGGAUAUGGUUUGGGCUCUGGUUUUGGUUCAGGCUUUGGCUCAGGCUUCGGUUCAGGCUCUGGUUUUGGCUCUGGUUUUGGUUCAGGUUUUGGCUCUGGCUUUGGUUCUGGCUUGGGCUCAGGCUUAGGCUCAGGCUUAGGGUGUGGCUUGGGCUCAGGCUUUGGCUUUGGCUCUGGCUUUGGCUCUGGUUUUGGUUCAGGUUUUGGCUCCGGCUUUGGUUCUGGCUUUGGCUCAGGCUUAGGCUCAGGCUUUGGUUCAGGCUUAGGCUUAGGCUCAGGGUAUGGCUUGGGCUCAGGCUUUGGCUUUGGCUCUGGCUUUGGCUUUGGUUUUGGUUCAGGUUUUGGCUCCGGCUUUGGUUCUGGCUUUGGCUCAGGCUUAGGCUCAGGCUUUGGUUCAGGCUCAGGGUGUGGCUUGGGCUCAGGCUUAGGUUCAGGCUUAGGCUCAGGCUCUGGGUGUGGCUUAGGCUCAGGUUUCGGAUCAGGCUUUGGUUCUGGGUGUGGUUUGGGCUCUGGCUUUGGUUUGGGCUCCGGUUUUGGUUCCGGCUUCGGUUCCGGUUUUGGCUCUGGCUUCGGCUCUGGGUACGGCUUUGGUUCUGGUUUUGGUUCUGGCUUAGGCUCAGGUUUAGGCUCCGGCUCAGGUUUUGGCUCUGGCUUCGGCUCCGGUUUUGGCUCUGGGUAUGGUUUAGGUUCAGGCUUAGGCUCAGGUUUUGGUUCUGGCUUUGGUUCCGGUUUAGGCUCAGGCUCAGGUACUGGUUUUGGCUCCGGCUCUGGCUUGGGCUCAGGUUUUGGCGUGGGUUUAGGAUGAGGCUUUGGCUUUGGCUUCGGCUCCGGCUCCGGCAGCUUCUCGUAUGUCACACGACCCUGCUUGCUCAUGAAGCGGGCGCCAUGGCCGAGCCCCCGGCCAGCAGCCGCCGCUUCAUCAAUGAAGGCGCUCGCCACC
RNAcentral lists this long non-coding RNA (26047 nucleotides) under Oryza sativa (Asian cultivated rice). Its description in RNAcentral is "long non-coding RNA (OSAT_LNC000944)". The record is from RNAcentral. Lineage: Eukaryota; Viridiplantae; Streptophyta; Magnoliopsida; Poales; Poaceae.